GGAAUGUUACGCAGAACUCUUGUCCUCCCCCCUGCUUGUUGUGGCAGAGAUUUAUACCAUAAUCUCCUAGCAGGCUUGAAUUACAGAUAUGAGUCCUGAUAACAACUGUCUACAGGUUAAAAUUAUAAAGCAUCCAGCCCCAUCUUCUACAUGAAACCUGUCCCAACCUAACCAAUCCACAUUCAUCUCUGAAUUCUUGUGGGACUUAUGGACUACGCUGCAUCACUCAGCCUUGGAGAACUUUUCCUUCCACAUCAAAUAGUAAAGUUCAGUAAAGACAACUGUAACAUUUUCUAUUUCCAAGUUACACUUCAUACCAUAUGCUAUGAGCAUACCGUGGCAGCAACACUCUGUUUCUAAAGACAGUAGGACAAAGUCUACGCAAUGGAGCUGCAGAGAUGAAGAAGGUACACCCACCCUACCAAAGCCUUCAAAGAAGAAAAACUACUACUGAUUGAAAUGGAUGAGAGACACGGUCAAAAGUUUGAAGAGAAAUUAUUUCUCCGGUGAAAAUGCCAAGAAGGAGAGGGUGGUAGGAAAUCAAGCCUUAAAUCUCUGCUCAAAUCUCUCAGAAAGUGAUGGUAUGUUCUAUGUCACCUCAAAUACAUUACUCAACAAAUUCGGAGUUGAAAUCACUGCCAGGACUCAAAUCCAACUAUAAUCAGUGGCUACAUCUGGAAAGGCUGCAUGGAGAUGUCCUUUAAGAUGAAGAUACCUGGAUUCUACCUCCAACUUUUUUCGGAAUCUGUAGUUUCAGAGUGUCUACAUUUCCACAGCUCUCCCAGGAAGCCCUCACUAUUCACCACUCUUGCCAACAAACUUCCUUCACCUGACCGUGAGAGCUGGAGUAAAGGAAGCCACAGCUAGGUAGUUGCAUUCUUGUUCUGUUCUUUGACUACGGACUGUAUCCUUACUUCAGGCAGCUGGAUGACAAGCACCUGCAAAGAAAUCCCUUGAACAACUGGAAAAACCAUUCAAGAUUCAUACCCAAGGGAUGGAGCACGGGGAAUAAAAAGCAAGCACCAGUGAAUGAAUUCAGCAGCCACAAACAAAUUACCAGCGACAUGUACCUUCCUGAGCGGCAGAGAAUUAUGGAGGCAAUAUUGCACGAUGGGAUAUGUAAGAACAGCCUUGGAGGUUCAUGUGUGGAUGGAAACCAAUUAAGAAAAGCACUUAGGAAAAUUGCUUUCCACUGUCUGGAUGAGAAUUUAUCAUGAGAUAUGGUUUUUAAGUGAAAAACCUUACAUGUAAACCUAGACUAAGUGUUUUGUCCAUGGUGACACACCAGGGGAAACAAAAGAGAUAAAAAUAGAAUGCUUGAAACCAGCCUCCUGAUGUAAUCACCAGACAGUUUACAAGUUUAUCUGAGGAGGAAGAGGUCCUAAUGCAACGUAGAACCUUAAGAGAGAGAUGUCAGCACAAGAAUUGCAGCAGCCAACUGACUGGGAACAAUAGAAAUGGAACUGAUUGCUUCGUAAAGAGUGAUACAAUUUUACCAAUGACACAGCAAAAGAAAACAAUUGCAAUCCUAUCUAUCAUAAAAGAAAAAGCAUUUUCUCUGCUAAAAUGCUCUUUGCUAAUCAUUAGUAGUCACUAAAGGUCACACGACAUCUGACCUAUUUAAUCCUGGCAUUCUGGCUUAAGUAUAAGCAGGCAAUUUCAUUCGUAAUAUCAGCAUAUGCUGCCUCCACAUCCCUUGGGGACUAGGAAAGUAACACGGAAAAAAGAAACCUCAGUGGAAACUGUGUAGAAGAGGAAAUGAGCAGAAUUAAUUUACAGAAGUUUUAUAUAGUCAGAAGCACAUUGUAUAGAGAGGAGAAAUAUGCAAUAGGUUCUUUUAAAAGAAGAUACUUAACACAACAUUGAGAGAGAGAGAAGAAGAGAGGCAUACCUCUGCUAUAGUUAAUGGAUGGAACAUGGAGCAAGAAAAAGAAUAUAGACUUGAAAGCCAGGUUAACCUGAUCUUAGUCCUGGCUAUAUUAUACCUAUGUUACCUAGGCUAUAG
Molecule: long non-coding RNA, 2005 nt
Organism: Equus caballus (horse)
Lineage: Eukaryota; Metazoa; Chordata; Mammalia; Perissodactyla; Equidae
Source: Ensembl